RNAcentral lists this ribosomal RNA (668 nucleotides) under Listeria monocytogenes. RNAcentral describes it as "bacterial LSU rRNA". It matches the Rfam family "Bacterial large subunit ribosomal RNA", at positions 1364 to 2028 of the family's 2925-position model. The record is from RNAcentral. Lineage: Bacteria; Bacillati; Bacillota; Bacilli; Caryophanales; Listeriaceae.
GCUCGUCCGCUCAGGGUUAGUCGGGACCUAAGCCGAGGCCGAUAGGCGUAGGCGAUGGACAACAGGUAGAGAUUCCUGUACCAGUGCUAAUUGUUUAACCGAUGGGGUGACACAGAAGGAUAGGGAAUCGCACGAAUGGAAAUGUGCGUCCAAGCAGUGAGUGUGAGAAGUAGGCAAAUCCGCUUCUCGCGAAGCAUGAGCUGUGAUGGGGAAGGAAAUUAAGUACGGAAGUUCCUGAUUUCACGCUGUCAAGAAAAGCCUCUAGGAAGAGUAGUACUGCCCGUACCGCAAACCGACACAGGUAGAUGAGGAGAGAAUCCUAAGGUGAGCGAGAGAACUCUCGUUAAGGAACUCGGCAAAAUGACCCCGUAACUUCGGGAGAAGGGGUGCUCUAUUAGGGUGCAAGCCCGAGAGAGCCGCAGUGAAUAGGCCCAGGCGACUGUUUAGCAAAAACACAGGUCUCUGCAAAACCGUAAGGUGACGUAUAGGGGCUGACGCCUGCCCGGUGCUGGAAGGUUAAGAGGAGUGCUUAGCUUCGGCGAAGGUACGAAUUGAAGCCCCAGUAAACGGCGGCCGUAACUAUAACGGUCCUAAGGUAGCGAAAUUCCUUGUCGGGUAAGUUCCGACCCGCACGAAAGGCGCAACGAUCUGGGCACUGUCUCAACGAG